RNAcentral lists this ribosomal RNA (253 nucleotides) under uncultured bacterium. Its description in RNAcentral is "partial 16S ribosomal RNA". It matches the Rfam family "Bacterial small subunit ribosomal RNA", at positions 524 to 776 of the family's 1533-position model. The record is from RNAcentral.
GACAGAGGGUGCAAGCGUUGCUCGGAAUUACUGGGCGUAAAGCGUGUGUAGGCGGUCCAGCAAGUGGGGUGUGAAAGCCCGGGGCUCAACCCCGGAAUUGCCUUUAAGACUGCAUCGCUAGAAUCAUGGAGAGGUGAGUGGAAUUCCGAGUGUAGAGGUGAAAUUCGUAGAUAUUCGGAAGAACACCAGUGGCGAAGGCGACUCACUGGACAUGUAUUGACGCUGAGGUACGAAAGCGUGGGGAGCAAACAGG